GAUUGAACGCUGGCGGCAUGCCUUACACAUGCAAGUCGAACGGCAGCACGGGGGCAACCCUGGUGGCGAGUGGCGAACGGGUGAGUAAUGCAUCGGAACGUGCCCUGAAGUGGGGGAUAACGUAGCGAAAGUUACGCUAAUACCGCAUAUUCUGUGAGCAGGAAAGCAGGGGAUCGCAAGACCUUGCGCUUUAGGAGCGGCCGAUGUCGGAUUAGUUAGUUGGUGGGGUAAAGGCCUACCAAGGCGACGAUCCGUAGCGGGUCUGAGAGGAUGAUCCGCCACACUGGGACUGAGACACGGCCCAGACUCCUACGGGAGGCAGCAGUGGGGAAUUUUGGACAAUGGGCGCAAGCCUGAUCCAGCCAUGCCGCGUGAGUGAAGAAGGCCUUCGGGUUGUAAAGCUCUUUCGGCGGGGAAGAAAUUGCACUCGUUAAUACCGGGUGUAGAUGACGGUACCCGCAUAAGAAGCACCGGCUAACUACGUGCCAGCAGCCGCGGUAAUACGUAGGGUGCGAGCGUUAAUCGGAAUUACUGGGCGUAAAGCGUGCGCAGGUGGUUGUGUAAGUCAGAUGUGAAAUCCCCGGGCUCAACCUGGGAACUGCAUUUGAGACUGCACGGCUAGAGGAUGGCAGAGGGGGGUAGAAUUCCACGUGUAGCAGUGAAAUGCGUAGAGAUGUGGAGGAAUACCGAUGGCGAAGGCAGCCCCCUGGGCUAUUUCUGACACUCAUGCACGAAAGCGUGGGGAGCAAACAGGAUUAGAUACCCUGGUAGUCCACGCCCUAAACGAUGUCAACUAGAUGUUGGAAGGGUUAAACCUUUUAGUGUCGUAGCUAACGCGUGAAGUUGACCGCCUGGGGAGUACGGCCGCAAGGCUAAAACUCAAA
RNAcentral lists this ribosomal RNA (884 nucleotides) under uncultured bacterium. RNAcentral describes it as "bacterial SSU rRNA". It matches the Rfam family "Bacterial small subunit ribosomal RNA", at positions 27 to 905 of the family's 1533-position model. The record is from RNAcentral.